GACGUAGGGCGCGAGCGUUGUCCGGAUUUAUUGGGCGUAAAGAGCUCGUAGGCGGCUUGUCGCGUCGACUGUGAAAACCCGUGGCUCAACCAUGUGGUCUGCAGUCGAUACGGGCAGGCUAGAAUUCGGUAGGGGAGACUGGAAUUCCUGGUGUAGCGGUGAAAUGCGUAGAUAUCGGGAAGAACACCAGUGGCGAAAGCGCUCUACUGGGCCAUAACUGACACUGAGGGACGAAAGCUAGGGGAGCGAAAGGG
Molecule: ribosomal RNA, 254 nt
Filed under: uncultured bacterium
Lineage: Bacteria
Description: partial 16S ribosomal RNA
Rfam family: Bacterial small subunit ribosomal RNA
Source: RNAcentral